UACCUACAUUUUUUAUGUAUUAAGUAACUCUUAAAUGUUGUUAUUAAUAAAAUAUUAACGCUAACUGUACCUAAACUAACCUUUGAUCACACAUGCUUACCUUUGCUGUAAAUUGAAACUUUUGUUUUUCGUUAAAAUAUUGGUAAAAUUUUAUAUUUGCUGAUCAUAAGGAACAUUUUUAGACAGUGCUUGUAAACCUUUUUCGCAAUGUUAAUUUUCACAGUUUUGCAUUGAAGUUUAUCUAAAAGUUUUUAACUUUUACGACAAAAAUGUUUACGAUUUCUUUGUCUGAAUUUGCAAAAUUUUGGUAUAAAUCGAGACCCCGAGUUCAUUAAAAAGAAUUAAAUCAGUGUUAUUAUACCGUGUUCAUCAAGAACCUGCAAAGUAUUGUGAUUGUGCUUCAACGAGAGGAUUCCCUGCAAAAAUCAUGUUCGUAAGUUUUUUACUGAUUCACUUUGAUUGUGUUUAUUGUGUGAGUGCUAAUUUAGUGUGUUAUGUUUAUUAAAUCAUCUUUAGGUCGGACAUUGAGUAUUACAACAAGGUUGAAGCCAAGCCUCGAGCUGCCCGCAAGCGGGAGGACUUGGAGGACGACGAGCGCCCCAUUCAGCGACCUCGGAAGGCGAGCAAGGCGGUGUUUUACGAUUCUGAGGACGAGCAUGCUAGCAAACGUACAAAGACACUAAAGAAGCCCCCACCGUCUAAGCGCAAGUCUGCUGCAGGCCUUGAAAAAGAUCUCUUCGAUUCGGAAGACGAACAAGUUCAUAAGCGAGUCGGCAAAGAGACGAAGAGACCUGCAGCGUUGAAGCGCAAACGAGCUCGGGCUGACGGUUGGGAGCUGGAGCUGGACGACGAGGA
Ostrinia nubilalis (European corn borer) is the source of this 855-nucleotide long non-coding RNA. RefSeq lists it as uncharacterized. Lineage: Eukaryota; Metazoa; Arthropoda; Insecta; Lepidoptera; Crambidae. The record is from RefSeq and is a predicted model, not a curated record. The transcript is spliced from 3 exons.